This 536-nucleotide small RNA is filed under the name Pan troglodytes (chimpanzee). Its description in RNAcentral is "retained intron". The record is from RNAcentral. Lineage: Eukaryota; Metazoa; Chordata; Mammalia; Primates; Hominidae.
GAAGAUGCUGAAUAUGAGAUGUGUGUUCGCUGGAUGCAGCUGGGGGCCUUUUACCCCUUCUCAAGAAACCACAACACCAUUGGGACCAGGAGACAAGACCCUGUGUCCUGGGAUGUUGCUUUUGUGAACAUUUCCAGAACUGUCCUGCAGACCAGAUACACCUUGUUGCCAUAUCUGUAUACCUUGAUGCAUAAGGCCCACACGGAGGGCAUCACUGUUGUGCGGCCUCUGCUCCAUGAGUGAGUGUCCAGCAGGGAUCCCAAUGCCUAAUGGGUGACUUAUUACAUUCUAUAUGGUGACAGUUGAAUUCUUCCAAAUUAAAGACAUGAUUGCCUUUUGACAUGAGCUCUUCAGGCGCAGACCAUACUUUAUUACUCUCUUUAGCACAGUGCCAUACAUGCCUUAGGUCAUUAAUAAAAGGCUAUUGAUUGAAUGAGCAAAACUGAAAUGAUGCAGUAUAGCAUAGAAUAAUUUCUUUCUAAUUUGGCUGUGCAAAGGCCUAUGUAUCUUUUGUAGCAGUUUGGUUAUGUGUAGCC